RNAcentral lists this microRNA precursor (205 nucleotides) under Oryza sativa Japonica Group (Japanese rice). RNAcentral describes it as "MIR812 microRNA precursor family". It matches the Rfam family "MIR812 microRNA precursor family". Lineage: Eukaryota; Viridiplantae; Streptophyta; Magnoliopsida; Poales; Poaceae. The record is from Rfam by way of RNAcentral.
GAUAUGGGUACGCUUGAAAAAUGUCUAUUGUCAUUGGAUUAUUUUUUUUACCCGUUGCAACGCACGGGCAUUUUUGCUAGUUAUUAUAAGAUGAUAAAACAUGAAUAGUACUUUAUAUGUGACUUAUGUUUUUAUUUUUUUUAAAAAAAAAUUAAAUAAGACGGACGGUUAAAAUUGUGCACGGAAAAUCAUGGCUGCACUUGGA